This 445-nucleotide ribosomal RNA is filed under the name uncultured bacterium. RNAcentral describes it as "partial 16S ribosomal RNA". It matches the Rfam family "Bacterial small subunit ribosomal RNA", at positions 354 to 796 of the family's 1533-position model. The record is from RNAcentral.
GUGAGGAAUAUUGGUCAAUGGGCGGAAGCCUGAACCAGCCAAGUAGCGUGCAGGAUGACGGCCCUAUGGGUUGUAAACUGCUUUUAUACGGGAAUAAAGUUAGCCACGUGUGGUUAUUUGUAGGUACCGUAUGAAUAAGGACCGGCUAAUUCCGUGCCAGCAGCCGCGGUAAUACGGAAGGUCCAGGCGUUAUCCGGAUUUAUUGGGUUUAAAGGGAGCGUAGGCCGUCUGUUAAGCGUGUUGUGAAAUGUAGAUGCUCAACAUCUGAAUUGCAGCGCGAACUGGCAGACUGGAGUGUGCGCAACGUAGGCGGAAUUCGUGGUGUAGCGGUGAAAUGCUUAGAUAUCACGAAGAACUCCGAUUGCGAAGGCAGCUUACGGGAGCACAACUGACGCUGAAGCUCGAAAGUGCGGGUAUCGAACAGGAUUAGAUACCCUGGUAGUCC